This 276-nucleotide ribosomal RNA is filed under the name uncultured bacterium. RNAcentral's name for it is "partial 16S ribosomal RNA". It matches the Rfam family "Bacterial small subunit ribosomal RNA", at positions 82 to 354 of the family's 1533-position model. The record is from RNAcentral.
CCGUUGCCGGCGACCGGCGCACGGGUGAGUAACACGUAUGCAACCUGCCCGUGGCAGGGGGAUAAGCGGGGGAAACCCCGUCUAAUACCGCGUAACGCGGCCUUGGGGCAUCCCAAGGCCGCCAAAGGGAGCAAUCCCGGCCACGGAUGGGCAUGCGGCGCAUUAGCUAGUCGGCGGGGUAACGGCCCACCGAGGCGACGAUGCGUAGGGGUUCUGAGAGGAAGGCCCCCCACACUGGUACUGGGACACGGACCAGACUCCUACGGAAGGCAGCAG